UGGGGAUUCAGAUUUAGGGGAUCCAGCAGGUUUGGGGGAUUCAGAAGUAGGGGAUCCAGUAGGUUUUGGGGAUUCAGAUUUAGGGGAUCCAGUAGGUUUUGGGGAUUCAGAUUUAGGGGAUCCAGAAGGUUUUGGUGAUUCAGAUUUGGGGGAUCCAGAAGGUUUUGGGGAUUCAGAUUUGGGGGAUCCAGCAGGUUUUGGGGAUUCAGAUUUGGGGGAUCCAGAAGGUUUUGGGGAUUCAGAUUUGGGGGAUCCAGCAGAUUUAGGGGAUCCAGCAGGUUUGGGGGAUUCAGAAGUAGGGGAUCCAGCAGGUUUUGGGGAUUCAGAUUUAGGGGAUCCAGCAAGUUUUGGGGAUUCAGAUUUUGGGGAUCCAGCAGGGUUUGGGGAUUCAGAUUUAGGGGAUCCAGCAGAUUUGGGGGAUUCAGAAGUAGGGGAUCCAGUAGGUUUUGGGGAUUCAGAUUUAGGGGUUCCAGCAGGUUUUGGGGAUUCAGAUUUAGGGGAUCCAGAAGGUUUUGGGGAUUCAGAUUUGGGGGAUCCAGAAGGUUUUGGGGAUUCAGAUUUGGGGGAUCCAGCAGAUUUAGGGGAUCCAGCAGGUUUGGGGGAUUCAGAAGUGGGGGAUCCAGCAGGCUUUGGGGAUUCAGAUUUAG
This is a long non-coding RNA of Oncorhynchus keta (chum salmon), 647 nucleotides long. RefSeq lists it as uncharacterized. The transcript is spliced from 4 exons. The record is from RefSeq and is a predicted model, not a curated record. Lineage: Eukaryota; Metazoa; Chordata; Actinopteri; Salmoniformes; Salmonidae.